This 379-nucleotide small RNA is filed under the name Histoplasma capsulatum var. duboisii H88. RNAcentral's name for it is "Histoplasma capsulatum H88 hypothetical RNA". The record is from RNAcentral. Lineage: Eukaryota; Fungi; Ascomycota; Eurotiomycetes; Onygenales; Ajellomycetaceae.
UGCAGUGGGUGAUUGGGAGUGAAAUAUGACUUUCUUCACCAUCCUAACGUAUUGAUGAGGACCCAACGAAUAGGGCUGCCUGAACCAGGUAAACGCCGAGAGCUUGCAUGAGCUGGCUAGGAAUUAAAGGGAGAGGAGCCGCGAGAGGGUUCGAUUCCCUGUCAUCCAAUCCUGGUGGGCGUGUUUCGUCUUCUCCUCCGUAACAAAAAUAGGAUCUAACGAAUGGACAAAAUUAUCGGAAACCAUAAUUCGCCCCUAGUUAGCCAGAAAAGCUUGCAACUCGGUGGCUAUUUCCACGGGGUCAAAGAGUUAUUGCUGGCAUCACGUAUUGAAGCUCAGGUCCCCUCACCCAUUGGUUUUGCUGCCUCCGUGAAAGUAU